GACGAACGCUGGCGGCGUGCCUAAUACAUGCAAGUCGAGCGGACGAAUCGAAAGCUUGCUUUUGAUUCGUUAGCGGCGGACGGGUGAGUAACACGUGGGCAACCUGCCCUGUAGACGGGGAUAACACCGAGAAAUCGGUGCUAAUACCGGAUAACACGAAAUGUCGCAUGACGCUUCGUUGAAAGACGGCGCAAGCUGUCGCUACAGUAUGGGCCCGCGGCGCAUUAGCUAGUUGGUGAGGUAACGGCUCACCAAGGCGACGAUGCGUAGCCGACCUGAGAGGGUGAUCGGCCACACUGGGACUGAGACACGGCCCAGACUCCUACGGGAGGCAGCAGUAGGGAAUCUUCCGCAAUGGACGAAAGUCUGACGGAGCAACGCCGCGUGAGCGAAGAAGGCCUUCGGGUCGUAAAGCUCUGUUGUUAGGGAAGAACAAGUAACGCAGUAACUGGCGUUACCGUGACGGUACCUAACGAGAAAGCCACGGCUAACUACGUG
This 498-nucleotide ribosomal RNA is filed under the name uncultured bacterium. Its description in RNAcentral is "partial 16S ribosomal RNA". It matches the Rfam family "Bacterial small subunit ribosomal RNA", at positions 28 to 507 of the family's 1533-position model. The record is from RNAcentral.